Molecule: ribosomal RNA, 492 nt
Filed under: uncultured bacterium
Lineage: Bacteria
Description: partial 16S ribosomal RNA
Rfam family: Bacterial small subunit ribosomal RNA
Source: RNAcentral
AGUGAACGCUGGCGGUAGGCCUAACACAUGCAAGUCGAACGGCAGCACAGUAAGAGCUUGCUCUUACGGGUGGCGAGUGGCGGACGGGUGAGGAAUACAUCGGAAUCUACUUUUUCGUGGGGGAUAACGUAGGGAAACUUACGCUAAUACCGCAUACGACCUACGGGUGAAAGCAGGGGAUCUUCGGACCUUGCGCGAUUGAAUGAGCCGAUGUCGGAUUAGCUAGUUGGCGGGGUAAAGGCCCACCAAGGCGACGAUCCGUAGCUGGUCUGAGAGGAUGAUCAGCCACACUGGAACUGAGACACGGUCCAGACUCCUACGGGAGGCAGCAGUGGGGGAUAUUGGACAAUGGGCGCAAGCCUGAUCCAGCCAUACCGCGUGGGUGAAGAAGGCCUUCGGGUUGUAAAGCCCCUUUGUUGGGAAAGAAAAGCAGCAGGUUAAUACCCCGCUGUUCUGACGGUACCCAAAGAAUAAGCACCGGCUAACUUCGUG